Pelodiscus sinensis (Chinese soft-shelled turtle) is the source of this 131-nucleotide non-coding RNA. NCBI's taxonomy places the organism in Eukaryota, Metazoa, Chordata, Testudines, Trionychidae. The record is from RefSeq and is a predicted model, not a curated record.
UGCUUUUAACGGAAAAGUUUUCCAUUAAAAGCAUUUUUGGAACAGAGCGUCUAGAUUGGCCACAGAAGCUUUUCCGCAAAAAAGCCCCGAUCACCAUUUUCGUGAUCGGGGCUUUUUUGCGGAAAACAAAU